AUGGCGAUGACUCCAAGAAAAAUAGUUUCUAAUGUUUUAAAACUAUUUAUUAUUUUCUUUAUUCAACAAACACUUUGUGAGAGACCCACCACUAGUUUAUCUUCAACCCAGAAGUUAUCGGAGGACAGGAAUGAGAUCCAUAUGAGAAGUGUCAUCCCCACCAAGCCGUCAACUCAACAGGCAAGACUGCACCCGGGGGUCAUUGCAGCUGUGAUAUUCGUUACAUUUGCUGCAGUUCUUGCUGCAGUUUUUAUCAUCAGAAAAUACUGCUUUCCCCGCAGCGAGGCCACAUACAGGUACUCAGUGCUGAGGCGGAUGGAAGCUGAGGGGUCAGGAGGAACUGAGGAGGAGGAGGAGGAUGGGCCCGGGCCCUACACACUGGGGGAGGACUCUGAUGAGGAUAUGUUGGAGUGAAUCAUCAUUCGGAUGACACUGCUCUGCGCUCAGGUUAGCUGAGGUCGACUGUGAAGUGUGUGCCGAAAUGGCUGGGCUCUUUUGCAUUGACUAGUUACAACAGGGCUAUUAUCCACUGAUGCUGGUUCUAAUUCAGGGAAUUGUUGUCAUGACAUGCAUACCUUAUUCUACACAUCUAGACUGUUAAUAAUAUUUGUAAAUAUAUAACCGAUACCAAUGGCAAGCAGACCAAAAUAACCAUUCUUCACAAGUAUAGAAGCUGUGUCUGCACUGUAUUCCGCAAUCAAAUGUUUCUAUUUGUUACUGACCUCUUCAAGCACUGUUUCAGUUGUUGAGUAUUGUCGUGUCAUCUUUAAGUAUUAUUCACACGUUUAAUGUAAAGUAUGUGGUACUAUGUUAACGUAACACAGCUGCCCAGGUUUUGUCUUUAAGACACAAGCUGUUGUGGUUACGUCCUUUAAUUCUUAUAAUUUUUUUUGUCAUUUAGCUCUUAUCCAGAGCGACUUAACAGUAGUGAGUGCAUACGUUUUUCGUUGUUUAUUUUCUUUUUUUAUAUAUUGUAUAAACAUGUUGUAUAAAUGUAUUUCCCCCUGAGCAGAAAUUAAUAUGUCAAUCAAUCAAUCAAAUGUAUUUAUAAAGCCCUUCUUACAUCAGCUAAUGUCACAACGUGCUGCACGGAAACCCAGCCUAAAACCCCAAACAGCAAGCAAUGCAGGCGUAUAAGCACGUGUUUGCCGUUCUGUGUUUAGUGUUUGCAGUUCUGUUUUGUGUUUGCCCUUCUGCACUUUGAAAUUAAAUCAUGUACAGUACCGUUACUGUGAGUUUCUUCAGUGCUUAUCAAUAAAGAGACGCUCUGCUCACCUGGCAUUAUCAACCACACCCCCACACCUGUGUAUGCUAAUCACAUAAACCAACAAUCUAAAGGGUAAAUAUGGAAUCAAGGAAGGGAGCGAUUCCAGUAACAAUAACGCCAUCAGGCCAGUGUAUGCCCUCUUGUCCUGUAUGCCCUCUUGUCCAUUAUGCCCUCUUGUCCGUUGGCCCAUUCCCAAUCACACUGCUGUGUUCUACGUUAGGUGUUUGAUUUCAACACUAGAGGACAGUAAAGGUAUGGCAAAAGUAAAAAGAACUGCUAAAGCUGCUUUUCUCAAGUGAAAGGUCUCAUUGUGUUUUAUUGUUUGAUCAAAUAUCCGUUGUCGUGUCCUCCACGGUGUGGCCAUCUUGUUUAUAUG
This 1643-nucleotide long non-coding RNA is filed under the name Oncorhynchus mykiss (rainbow trout). RNAcentral's name for it is "lncRNA (ENSOMYG00000067963.1)". The record is from RNAcentral. Lineage: Eukaryota; Metazoa; Chordata; Actinopteri; Salmoniformes; Salmonidae.